GACGAACGCUGUCGGCGUGCUUAACACAUGCAAGUCGAACGGAAAGGCCCUGCUUUUGUGGGGUGCUCGAGUGGCGAACGGGUGAGUAACACGUGAGUAACCUGCCCUUGACUUUGGGAUAACUUCAGGAAACUGGGGCUAAUACCGGAUAGGAGCUCCUGCUGCAUGGUGGGGGUUGGAAAGUUUCGGCGGUUGGGGAUGGACUCGCGGCUUAUCAGCUUGUUGGUGGGGUAGUGGCUUACCAAGGCUUUGACGGGUAGCCGGCCUGAGAGGGUGACCGGCCACAUUGGGACUGAGAUACGGCCCAGACUCCUACGGGAGGCAGCAGUGGGGAAUAUUGCACAAUGGGCGGAAGCCUGAUGCAGCAACGCCGCGUGCGGGAUGACGGCCUUCGGGUUGUAAACCGCUUUCGCCUGUGACGAAGCGUGAGUGACGGUAAUGGGUAAAGAAGCACCGGCUAACUACGUGCCAGCAGCCGCGGUGAUACGUAGGGUGCGAGCGUUGUCCGGAUUUAUUGGGCGUAAAGGGCUCGUAGGUGGUUGAUCGCGUCGGAAGUGUAAUCUUGGGGCUUAACCCUGAGCGUGCUUUCGAUACGGGUUGACUUGAGGAAGGUAGGGGAGAAUGGAAUUCCUGGUGGAGCGGUGGAAUGCGCAGAUAUCAGGAGGAACACCAGUGGCGAAGGCGGUUCUCUGGGCCUUUCCUGACGCUGAGGAGCGAAAGCGUGGGGAGCGAACAGGCUUAGAUACCCUGGUAGUCCACGCUGUAAACGGUGGGUACUAGGUGUGGGGUCCAUUCCACGGGUUCCGUGCCGUAGCUAACGCUUUAAGUACCCCGCCUGGGGAGUACGGCCGCAAGGCUAAAACUCAAAGGAAUUGACGGGGCCCCGCACAAGCGGCGGAGCAUGCGGAUUAAUUCGAUGCAACGCGUAGAACCUUACCUGGGUUUGACAUGGAUCGGGAGUGCUCAGAGAUGGGUGUGCCUCUUUUGGGGUCGGUUCACAGGUGGUGCAUGGCUGUCGUCAGCUCGUGUCGUGAGAUGUUGGGUUAAGUCCCGCAACGAGCGCAACCCUUGUUCACUGUUGCCAGCACGUUAUGGUGGGGACUCAGUGGAGACCGCCGGGGUCAACUCGGAGGAAGGUGGGGAUGACGUCAAGUCAUCAUGCCCCUUAUGUCCAGGGCUUCACGCAUGCUACAAUGGCUGGUACAGAGAGUGGCGAGCCUGUGAGGGUGAGCGAAUCCCGGAAAGCCGGUCUCAGUUCGGAUUGGGGUCUGCAACUCGACCUCAUGAAGUCGGAGUCGCUAGUAAUCGCAGAUCAGCAACGCUGCGGUGAAUACGUUCCCGGGGCU
Molecule: ribosomal RNA, 1346 nt
Filed under: uncultured bacterium
Lineage: Bacteria
Description: partial 16S ribosomal RNA
Rfam family: Bacterial small subunit ribosomal RNA
Source: RNAcentral